This 274-nucleotide ribosomal RNA is filed under the name uncultured bacterium. RNAcentral's name for it is "partial 16S ribosomal RNA". It matches the Rfam family "Bacterial small subunit ribosomal RNA", at positions 523 to 796 of the family's 1533-position model. The record is from RNAcentral.
AUACGAAGGGGGCAAGCGUUGUUCGGAAUAACUGGGCGUAAAGCGCACGUAGGCGGAAUGUUAAGUUAGAGGUGGAAUCCCAGGGCUCAACCCUGGAACGGCCUUUAAUACUGGCAAUCUAGAGACCGAGAGAGGUGAGUGGAAUUCCGAGUGUAGAGGUGAAAUUCGUAGAUAUUCGGAGGAACACCAGUGGCGAAGGCGGCUCACUGGCUCGGUACUGACGCUGAGGUGCGAAAGCGUGGGGAGCAAACAGGAUUAGAAACCCCUGUAGUCC